GGCUCCGUAGCGUAAUGGCUAACGCAUUGCUUUCCGGUUUAUGGUCGCCUGGCAAAGACUGUGGGUUCGAGUCCCAUCGGGGUCG
Non-coding RNA from Morchella snyderi, 85 nucleotides. The record is from the annotation of a GenBank genome assembly. NCBI's taxonomy places the organism in Eukaryota, Fungi, Ascomycota, Pezizomycetes, Pezizales, Morchellaceae.